Molecule: ribosomal RNA, 801 nt
Filed under: bacterium 3124F-16S530
Lineage: Bacteria
Description: bacterial SSU rRNA
Rfam family: Bacterial small subunit ribosomal RNA
Source: RNAcentral
GGGCGUAAAGAGCUCGUAGGCGGUUUGUCGCGUCUGUCGUGAAAGUCCGGGGCUUAACCCCGGAUCUGCGGUGGGUACGGGCAGACUAGAGUGCAGUAGGGGAGACUGGAAUUCCUGGUGUAGCGGUGGAAUGCGCAGAUAUCAGGAGGAACACCGAUGGCGAAGGCAGGUCUCUGGGCUGUAACUGACGCUGAGGAGCGAAAGCAUGGGGAGCGAACAGGAUUAGAUACCCUGGUAGUCCAUGCCGUAAACGUUGGGCACUAGGUGUGGGGACCAUUCCACGGUUUCCGCGCCGCAGCUAACGCAUUAAGUGCCCCGCCUGGGGAGUACGGCCGCAAGGCUAAAACUCAAAGGAAUUGACGGGGGCCCGCACAAGCGGCGGAGCAUGCGGAUUAAUUCGAUGCAACGCGAAGAACCUUACCAAGGCUUGACAUGUUCUCGAUCGCCGUAGAGAUACGGUUUCCCCUUUGGGGCGGGUUCACAGGUGGUGCAUGGUUGUCGUCAGCUCGUGUCGUGAGAUGUUGGGUUAAGUCCCGCAACGAGCGCAACCCUCGUUCCAUGUUGCCAGCACGUAAUGGUGGGGACUCAUGGGAGACUGCCGGGGUCAACUCGGAGGAAGGUGAGGACGACGUCAAAUCAUCAUGCCCCUUAUGUCUUGGGCUUCACGCAUGCUACAAUGGCCGGUACAAUGGGUUGCGAUACUGUGAGGUGGAGCUAAUCCCAAAAAGCCGGUCUCAGUUCGGAUUGGGGUCUGCAACUCGACCCCAUGAAGUCGGAGUCGCUAGUAAUCGCAGAUCAGCA